Molecule: long non-coding RNA, 1929 nt
Organism: Triticum aestivum (bread wheat)
Lineage: Eukaryota; Viridiplantae; Streptophyta; Magnoliopsida; Poales; Poaceae
Exons: 3
Source: RefSeq, a predicted model, not a curated record
UCCCACCCACCCCUGACCUCGCCGUCCUCCCUCCCCUCCCCGCAUCAGCCGGCAACCUCUACGCCCGAGGAGAUCGAGCGAGCGCCCGAGCGUGCCCGUCCUCGCAGCCUCCUCCCACAAUUCCCCGCACCCGAGCCCCAUGAGAGGAGCUCCUCCUGUGGUUUUGCACGCCGCCGCCGGCGACCUCCAACCACAGCUUGCCGGAGCCAGCAGAUGAGUGCCACCCUUCUUCCCGUGCUCUCUUUCUUCCUCCUUUUUCUCUCUCACACAUCUCAAUUUCUCUCUUUGUCUCAAAUAGUGCACUCUGUCGCCAUGGACGCUCGCGUCCCCGACCUUCAGCGUGCCGCCCCAAUGCCAAGUCCCUCCUCGCCGUUCCUGCGCCGCCGAGCCGAAGCCUCGCCCAAGUCCAAGAGCUGCCGCCGUUUGCCUCCUCGCCAUGGCCUCCCCUGCUUCGUCUGCUUCGCGGACAGAGCUCCGUCUCCGUCAACGUGUCCUCCCGCCGUCUCUGUUCGCUGUCGGGCUCAAUCGACUCCAGCAGUACCCCCACGGUGACACUCCGCUCCUCCUAGCCCCCGUCUCCUGACAAGGUGGUGAACCUGCUGUUCGAGAAGAGGCCGAAGCAGUUCGGCAUCGAUGGCGCCCUGCUGACAAAGAAGGACCUCCACCGGUUCGUCAAGUGGGCCAAGGUCAUGCGCAUCCAGCGCCAGCGCCGCAUCCUCAAAUAGCGCCUCAAGGUGCCCUCGGCGCUCCAUGAGUUCACCCGCACCCUCGACAAGAACCUCGGUAUAUACGAAACUUUCCUGUUCAUUCGUCGCUGGACUCGGAAUCCACAAUGCCCGAGGUCGUUUAGUUGCUGUGAUGUAUUAUUUUGACUUGUGGGUAUGCAAUAGCUAAGUGAGCGAGUAUUAACUUGGCCAAGAUAAUGAAAAGAGUUGAUGGAUGUGUUUUAAGAUUCCUGUUGGUAGAUACAUUGGGAGCCUCCUCUUGUGUGAUAAGGGCAAUGCAUGUUGUUGUCCUACAUACCUACUACUAUAUUUAUUUUACUGAAUAUAUUGACAUGCCAUGACAUUAUGAAGUAAUAGACUGGUUAGCAGAAGCUUUCACUUCUAAGGAUGCCAGUAGGAAGAAUCAUUGUAGUUAAGUGACUGUGUGGCUGCUGUGGCCUUGCUAUGUUUGUACCUGAAGUCACACCUCUAUAAUUGCUUUUUAUUUUAUGUUGGAACGUGUCUAGUUAUGGCACGGUGAGCUCUCUCUUUCCUGGAUUUUGAAUUACUUAGUUAUGUGAUCUACUCAUGUUCGUGCUAAUUGACCAAUACAUGCUUUUCUGUAACUUUAGAUAUUUUCAAGAAUAGUUUGCUUGGUCCUUCAUAUCUAAAGCUUGCAUGUAUUGUAGAAGCUCUACUUUAUGCUAAUACCUGCUUGUGUAACAUUUUGCAUGGCAUACUUCUAAAUGGACAAGUACAUGCGACGUCCAGUGUCAACGAUGUGCGGACCAUAUGUUCAACUGCAGCCCCAUCCAUUGCAUCGACACAAACAUCUUUUGCAUCAGCCUGUCAUUGCUAAGGGAGAAGCGGGACUUGGAGAAGGAAUCUUUCCAUUAAGCAGAUUACAUGUUUGGUUGCUGUGAAGUACCAGAUAGGCUAGUUCUAUUUUUUUCAUGAUCCUGGAGUAUUUCAGCAGCGCCAUGCAAAUGCAGUAGCGUUAGGUUUCUGAUUCACCUUGUGUAAAAACUUAGUUAGCCCGCAGUCAGUCAGUAGUAGCUCAGCCAGCCAGCCAGCCUCAAAUAGUAUUACUGGAAUGAAUGGUUGUAAUAUAAUAACAUUGCACGCUGCUUUGAAAAUGUAUCAGAACUGGGCUGGGCCCAAGAUAGCUUGUGGUGUGAUGUGUUGUAAUGUCAAUGGCAUAAUAAUUUUUUUUGGAUUGGAUCAA